AUUUCUAUAGUUUAAGUAAAAUAUGAUAGUGAAAAUAUCAAGAUAUGGAAUUUUAGGAAUA
This 61-nucleotide transfer RNA is filed under the name Alectorobius cerradoensis. RNAcentral's name for it is "tRNA-Phe". Lineage: Eukaryota; Metazoa; Arthropoda; Arachnida; Ixodida; Argasidae. The record is from RNAcentral.